Macaca mulatta (Rhesus monkey) is the source of this 2196-nucleotide long non-coding RNA. The record is from Ensembl. NCBI's taxonomy places the organism in Eukaryota, Metazoa, Chordata, Mammalia, Primates, Cercopithecidae.
GAUCACAUCACAGCGUCGAAGAACUUGUGUAGCCCUGUCCCUGUCCCUGUGCGGCCGUGUGGCUUGGACCAAGUCAUCGACACUGUCCAGGGACAUUGGAGUUCGUCCGCCCAUCUCAUCUGCUUAUUUUUGGCAAAGGACGAGUCCAGACACUGGGCGAACCAGAAUCGGUUGGAUCACGCAGUAGACAGGAACCUGCCCUUCCCAACCUAGGCCAUUUUUCACUGGGGAAAGAAAGAUGAGCCUGACCACUGGCAAAUGUCUGAGCUCCAACUGUGAGCCCUUCAGUGCUGGGGACCCCCCGGGAUCUUCUAAUGAAGAAGUCGUCUUUGUCCUCUGGGAACUUAAUGCUUAGAAUGAAAGUAGGACAGGGAAACGGGGAGGAAAGAGACUCACUCUUAGAGUCCUGCCCUCGCUACCCUGCACCUGCACGCCCCUGAGAAUGAGUGCUUCUUAAAUUUUGCACUCUAGGCUCCUCACACCUCCCCCUAGUCUCGGAAGCUAAUGACCAGGAAGCAGGCCAGUGACCACUGGCCCCAAGACGGGGAUCCCAGACAGAUGAGUCUGGACAGAUGGGCUAUGAUGGGACUUGAAUGCCACCACAAACUUUAGGUUUAGACAAAGUCAUGUUUUUUUUUGUUUGUUUUUGUUUUUUUUUUAAGGAAAUUUGCUUGCAGCUAGGCAUGGCCCAGCCUUACCUUGGCUCCCAUCCUACCUGCACUGGGCCCUCCCAGGGCCAUAAAUUGCCAUCACCCCCAAGUGCCUCCUCUUCUGUGUUGGCUGUUCAGCCUUCAGGGUCCCUCUUCAAUAAAGGUGUCUGCAGGGAUGUAUCUGCAAAAUCCAAGGCAGUGGUUUGAACCUUGGCUCAACCCCCUCCCUGGCUGUGUGACCUGGCGGGGUUGGUUACCUGCUCUGAGUUCCCUUAUCUAUUAAAGUGGAUGUUUGGGCCUACUUUCCUGAGCUGUUGUAAAGCAGAGAGGAGACCAUGUACAAAAAGUUUUGUAAUCUGAAGUGCUACAUGAUAUCUAGAAAGAGUCUUAACUCUCAUGGAUCUCCAUCUGGACCGCAUGAAUGAAGGUCUCAGGCCCCAAGCCACACCCCUCCAAAACAGUUCUGCCAUCUGCUUCUUGAGUGAGAAGUGAGUAAUGAUCCUUCCUUUGGGCGUGGCAACCCAGUCCAGUCCUCAGUGCUGAAGCUGCUAGGCCCUCUAUCCACCUGCAUGUCCUACUUGCAGCUGCCCCAACCUCCAACCUCUGCCUGGGACCCAGCCUAGAAUCCAAAACCGGUCCACACAGGCCUAGUAACUCGCAGCGCUCUCAUAUUGUUCAACAGUUAUACCACUGAUGAUUUGAACUUGAAGCAUCCCAGAAAGUCCAGAGAAGUCCUGGGAAGGCCAGAGAAGGCCAGUGACUUGUCCAGGGCCAUAUGUAAAUCCUGUGCCAAGCCGGGCAUCGUCGCACCAGCCUGUAGUCCCAGCUGCUUGGAAGGUUGAGGCAGGAGUUCAAGACUGCAGUGAGCUAUGAUUGUGCCACUGCGUUCCAGCCUGGGUGACAGAGAGAGAGACCCUGUCUUAAAGAAGAAAAAUUUAGGCCAGGCACAGUGGCUCACACCUGUGAUCCCAGCACUUUGGGUGGUCAAGGCAGGCAGAUCACUUGAGGCCAGGAGUUCAAGACCAGCCUGGCCAACAUAGCGAAACCUUGUCUCUACUAAAAAUAGAAAAAAUUAACUGGGUGUGGUGGUACAUGCCUGUAAUCCCAACUACGAGGGAGGCUGAGGCACAAGGAUCGCCGGAAUUCAAGAGGCAGAGAUUGUAGUGAGCCAAGAUCAUGCCACUGCAUUCCAGCCUGGGUGACAGAGCAAGACUCUGUCUCUAAAAAUUAAAAAAAAAAAAAAUUAAUUUAAUUUAAUUUAAUUUAAUUUAAAAUCCUGUGCCCAGCCAGGUAAGGGGGCUCACGCCAGUAAUCCUAGCACUUUGGGAGGCCGAGGCAGGCACAUGGCUUGAGCCCAGGAGUUCAGGACCAGCCUGGGCAACAUGGCAAAAACCCAUCUCUACCCAAAAAGAUACAAAAAUUAGCGGGGGUCCGUGGCAUGAGUCUGUAAUCCCAGCUACUGGGGAGGCUGAGGUGGGAGAAUCGCUUGAGCCCAGGAGGCAGAGGUUACAGUGAGUGGAGAUCAUGCCAGUGCACUCCAGCCUGG